This 227-nucleotide ribosomal RNA is filed under the name uncultured bacterium. Its description in RNAcentral is "partial 16S ribosomal RNA". It matches the Rfam family "Bacterial small subunit ribosomal RNA", at positions 109 to 334 of the family's 1533-position model. The record is from RNAcentral.
AGUAACACGUGGAUAAUCUGCCUCUAUGAUGGGGAUAACAGUUGGAAACGACUGCUAAUACCGCAUAAGCCCACGACCUGGCAUCGGGUUGAGGGAAAAGGAGCAAUCCGCUUUGAGAUGGCCUCGCGUCCGAUUAGCUAGUUGGUGAGGUAACGGCCCACCAAGGCAACGAUGGGUAGCCGAUCUGAGAGGAUGAUCGGCCACACUGGAACCGAAACACGGUCCAG